UACGCAGGUGGCAAGCGUUGUCCGGAAUUAUUGGGCGUAAAGCGCUCGCAGGCGGUCUUUUAAGUCUGAUGUGAAAGCCCACGGCUCAACCGUGGAGGGUCAUUGGAAACUGGAGGACUUGAGUACAGAAGAGGAGAGUGGAAUUCCACGUGUAGCGGUGAAAUGCGUAGAGAUGUGGAGGAACACCAGUGGCGAAGGCGACUCUCUGGUCUGUAACUGACGCUGAGGAGCGAAAGCGUGGGGAGCGAACAGG
Molecule: ribosomal RNA, 253 nt
Filed under: uncultured bacterium
Lineage: Bacteria
Description: partial 16S ribosomal RNA
Rfam family: Bacterial small subunit ribosomal RNA
Source: RNAcentral